AGUGAACGCUGGCGGUAGGCCUAACACAUGCAAGUCGAACGGCAGCACAGUAAGAGCUUGCUCUUACGGGUGGCGAGUGGCGGACGGGUGAGGAAUACAUCGGAAUCUACUUUUUCGUGGGGGAUAACGUAGGGAAACUUACGCUAAUACCGCAUACGACCUACGGGUGAAAGCAGGGGAUCUUCGGACCUUGCGCGAUUGAAUGAGCCGAUGUCGGAUUAGCUAGUUGGCGGGGUGAAGGCCCACCAAGGCGACGAUCCGUAGCUGGUCUGAGAGGAUGAUCAGCCACACUGGAACUGAGACACGGUCCAGACUCCUACGGGAGGCAGCAGUGGGGAAUAUUGGACAAUGGGCGCAAGCCUGAUCCAGCCAUACCGCGUGGGUGAAGAAGGCCUUCGGGUUGUAGAGCCCUUUUGUUGGGAAAGAAAAGCAGCAGGUUAAUACCCCGCUGUUCUGACGGUACCCAAAGAAUAAGCACCGGCUAACUUCGUG
This 492-nucleotide ribosomal RNA is filed under the name uncultured bacterium. RNAcentral describes it as "partial 16S ribosomal RNA". It matches the Rfam family "Bacterial small subunit ribosomal RNA", at positions 29 to 507 of the family's 1533-position model. The record is from RNAcentral.